CGGCAGAAGGUCCCUGCGGCACCGGCACACGUGGACGCGGGUCACACGGCAGCGCACGGACCCUGUACGCGUGACCCACACGGGAUCUCCCUGCCAUUGCUACAUGGACCCACGUGGGAUCCCCUGGUGCCACCAGGACAACAYGGCAUCAGCACAGGAUCCCCCUGCCGCCACACGGGAUCCCCCUGCCGCAAGACGGAUGCACGUGGGAUCUCCCUGCCGUUGCUACAUGGACCCACACGGGAUCCCCUGGUGCCGCAUGGACCCACACGGGAUUCCCUACUGCCACCAGGACCACAUGGUAUCGGCACAGGAUCCCCCUGCCGCGACACGGACCCGUACAGGAUCCUGCUGCCACCACAUGGAUGCGCAUUGGAUCUCUCUGCCGCUGCCACACGGGAUCCCCUGGUGCCACCAGGACCACAUGGCAUCAGCAUGGGAUCCCCCUGCCGCAACACGGACCCACACGGGAUCCUGCUGCUGCCACACGGACUCACAUGGGAUCCCCUGGUGCCACAUGGACCCACACGGGAUCCCUCCACCACCGCUACAUGGACCCACAUGGGAUCCCCUGGUGCCACCAGGACCACAUGGCAUCAGCAUGGGAUCCCCCUGCCACCGCUUGGAUGCACAUGGGAUCCUGCUGCUGCCACAUGGACCCACACGGGAUCCCCUGGUGCCACAUGGACCCACACGGGAUCCCCCCACUGCUGCACAGACCCACACGGGAUCCCACCGCUACAACACGGAGCCACAUGGGAUCCCCCACCGCCACAUGGGAUCCUCCUGCCACCACCACACGGACCCACACGGGAUCUCUCACCACCGCCACACGGACCCACACGGGAUCUCUCACCACCGCAACACGGACCCACACGGGAUCUCCCCACCGCCGCAACACGGACCCACACGGGACCCCCGGUGCCCCACGGAUCCCCCCGGGAUCCCCCCACCGCCACAACACGGAUCCACCCGGGCCCCCGCCCCCCACGCGCACCGAGCGGGGGGCUCAGCCCCCCCCCAUUUAUUUAUCCACGGAAUUAAUUUAUGUUAAUUUAUUCACCGGGCGCCGGGGCCCCUCCCCCCCGGCCC
Molecule: long non-coding RNA, 1092 nt
Filed under: Dromaius novaehollandiae (emu)
Lineage: Eukaryota; Metazoa; Chordata; Aves; Casuariiformes; Dromaiidae
Description: lncRNA (ENSDNVG00000002881.1)
Source: RNAcentral